GGGAAWUKKGCCCCYWWGUUAACGGGCCGAGUGAAGCGGCAACAGCUCAAAUUUGAAAUCUGGCGCAAGCCCGAGUUGUAAUUUGUAGAGGAUGCUUCUGGCCAGCGGCCGUUCUAAGUUCCUUGGAACAGGACGUCAUAGAGGGUGAGAAUCCCGUAUGUGACCGGCGCGCAGCCUUUACGUAGCUCCUUCGACGAGUCGAGUUGUUUGGGAAUGCAGCUCUAAAUGGGAGGUAAAUUUCUUCUAAAGCUAAAUACCGGCCAGAGACCGAUAGCGCACAAGUAGAGUGAUCGAAAGAUGAAAAGCACUUUGGAAAGAGAGUUAAAAAGCACGUGAAAUUGUUGAAAGGGAAGCGCUUGCAACCAGACUUCGUAGCGAUGUUCCGCCGGUCUUCUGACCGGUCUACUCAUCGUCGCGAGGCCAACAUCGUCUGGGGCCGCCGGAUAAGACCUAAGGAAUGUAGCUUCCCUCGGGAAGUGUUAUAGCCUUUGGUGAUGCGGCGCGUCUCGGGCGAGGUCCGCGCUUCGGCAAGGAUGUUGGCGUAAUGGUUGUCAGCGGCCCGUCUUGAAACACGGACAYACAAGU
This 585-nucleotide ribosomal RNA is filed under the name Ragnhildiana perfoliati. RNAcentral describes it as "eukaryotic LSU rRNA". It matches the Rfam family "Eukaryotic large subunit ribosomal RNA", at positions 70 to 674 of the family's 3401-position model. Lineage: Eukaryota; Fungi; Ascomycota; Dothideomycetes; Mycosphaerellales; Mycosphaerellaceae. The record is from RNAcentral.